ACACUAAUAUCAUGCUCAAAUACAUAUAUCUUAAGCCAAAAUCACUUUAAUAACACAUAGGCAAAAGUCCUAAUUUUUAUUAAACUAAGCUCUUUUGAAAAUAUCACUAAUCAUGUAUAACCUAUUGAUCAAAUCAUAGAUCUAACAUCCUAGGUUACCAAUUAGCACAAUUGAACAUCAUAAAACAAGAUCACAUAUAGAUACACAUGUAUGUCAUCUUCUUCCUCAAACUAACACUUUUCAUUUUUCAUUUCUCAACCUCAAGCUUCAAUCUCAUCCAUCAUUAAUCAUCUAGAUCAUCUCAUAAACUCAAAUCCAUCAUCAAUACAUCAAUUGAUUCAUAGGAUCUCAACAUCCCAAUUUUAGGUAAACCAACCUAAUAGAAAAAUCUAUAUCUCAUGGCUAAUCAUCAAGAUAUUCAUAUAUAUUAACUCAAUAAUCAUCAAUCAUCAUAUAAAUCAUCGACUCACAAUUUCCCAAUUUUUUUUUUUG
Molecule: long non-coding RNA, 492 nt
Filed under: Salvia miltiorrhiza (redroot sage)
Lineage: Eukaryota; Viridiplantae; Streptophyta; Magnoliopsida; Lamiales; Lamiaceae
Description: long non-coding RNA (SMIL_LNC012799)
Source: RNAcentral